Zophobas morio is the source of this 514-nucleotide long non-coding RNA. RefSeq lists it as uncharacterized. Lineage: Eukaryota; Metazoa; Arthropoda; Insecta; Coleoptera; Tenebrionidae. The record is from RefSeq and is a predicted model, not a curated record. The transcript is spliced from 2 exons.
UUAAUUUUCCAAAAAAUACUGUCAUCAAAUUUUACAAUAAAACCGUUCGGUUCAAGAAUGUCCCGCCUGCAAGUAAUUUUUGUUUCGACCUUGAUCAUUUUGCUGUGUCUCGCACCAUCUGAAAAAACGGAACCCACAGAAUGUUAUUAUUGCAACAAAAAAUGCACGGAUCCCAUUAAAACAGAAAAAUGUGGAUCUUCUUAUGAUAAUGAAGAUCUCAACAGAACGUACGUGUGUGCGAAUAAAAACCGCCUAACUUCCGAUCGUCUAGUGAUCGAAAAAGGAUGUUUUUAUUUGGGUGAUGUUUUCAUGAACGCGUGCCGUAACAAGUCAAACAUUGUAUGCGUUCAUUGUGACACAGAUCUUUGUAACACCGGACAAUUUCUGUAUUACACGGGACCGAAUUCUACUGGCACCAGUGUGCCACGAACAUCUUUAAAUUAUUAUUCGUCGUCCUUCUUACUGUCCAUUACGUUUUUUCUUGUGAUUUUACAAUAAAAUUUACAGUAAUAAA